Molecule: ribosomal RNA, 560 nt
Filed under: Yersinia sp. R3-1
Lineage: Bacteria; Pseudomonadati; Pseudomonadota; Gammaproteobacteria; Enterobacterales; Yersiniaceae
Description: bacterial SSU rRNA
Rfam family: Bacterial small subunit ribosomal RNA
Source: RNAcentral
AGGGGGAUAACUACUGGAAACGGUAGCUAAUACCGCAUAACGUCUUCGGACCAAAGUGGGGGACCUUCGGGCCUCACACCAUCGGAUGUGCCCAGAUGGGAUUAGCUAGUAGGUGGGGUAAUGGCUCACCUAGGCGACGAUCCCUAGCUGGUCUGAGAGGAUGACCAGCCACACUGGAACUGAGACACGGUCCAGACUCCUACGGGAGGCAGCAGUGGGGAAUAUUGCACAAUGGGCGCAAGCCUGAUGCAGCCAUGCCGCGUGUGUGAAGAAGGCCUUCGGGUUGUAAAGCACUUUCAGCGAGGAGGAAGGCAGUCGUGUUAAUAGCACGGUUGAUUGACGUUACUCGCAGAAGAAGCACCGGCUAACUCCGUGCCAGCAGCCGCGGUAAUACGGAGGGUGCAAGCGUUAAUCGGAAUUACUGGGCGUAAAGCGCACGCAGGCGGUUUGUUAAGUCANAUGUGAAAUCCCCGCGCUUAACGUGGGAACUGCAUUUGAAACUGGCAAGCUAGAGUCUUGUAGAGGGGGGUAGAAUUCCAGGUGUAGCGGUGAAAUGCGUA